This is a long non-coding RNA of Oxyura jamaicensis (ruddy duck), 145 nucleotides long. RefSeq lists it as uncharacterized. The transcript has 3 exons. The record is from RefSeq and is a predicted model, not a curated record. Lineage: Eukaryota; Metazoa; Chordata; Aves; Anseriformes; Anatidae.
UGUAAUUUCUGGGACACCAGGGGGAAGGUAUUUGCAUGAGUUAAUUAUUGACAGGGUUGCUUGGGCUCCAUCCCGGCUAAACGCUUCCUGACAAACACUCCUGAAAGCUCACAACUCCUGCUUGAGCUCAUAACGUGGAAACUGC